Molecule: ribosomal RNA, 468 nt
Filed under: uncultured bacterium
Lineage: Bacteria
Description: partial 16S ribosomal RNA
Rfam family: Bacterial small subunit ribosomal RNA
Source: RNAcentral
GACGAACGCUGGCGGCGUGCUUAACACAUGCAAGUCGAACGGAAAGGCCCUGCUUUUGUGGGGUGCUCGAGUGGCGAACGGGUGAGUAACACGUGAGUAACCUGCCCUUGACUUUGGGAUAACUUCAGGAAACUGGGGCUAAUACCGGAUAGGAGCUCCUGCUGCAUGGUGGGGGUUGGAAAGUUUCGGCGGUUGGGGAUGGACUCGCGGCUUAUCAGCUUGUUGGUGGGGUAGUGGCUUACCAAGGCUUUGACGGGUAGCCGGCCUGAGAGGGUGACCGGCCACAUUGGGACUGAGAUACGGCCCAGACUCCUACGGGAGGCAGCAGUGGGGAAUAUUGCACAAUGGGCGGAAGCCUGAUGCAGCAACGCCGCGUGCGGGAUAACGGCCUUCGGGUUGUAAAACGCUUUCGCCUGUGACGAAGCGUGAGUGACGGUAAUGGGUAAAGAAGCACCGGCUAACUACGUG